UUUGGAGAAUUGGGGAAAGUGAAAAUGGGAAGGAUGUGUGCUAACUUUAAGGUCAUUAUAUAUAUGGAUGGGAAAAAAAGGUGAAAGAGAAAAUUUAGUUACGGUUUGAGGUGUGGGGGCUGCGAUGAGGGGACGCGUGCAAUACAAGGUAAUUGAUGAGUAUAAUGAUAUUUUUUAUUAUAGUAAUUAACAGUAUUCGGUUUACUAAUGAAAAACGCUAACUCAUAAAGAAGAAUGAAAUUAUAUUCUCUUAUUUCCAUAUUUAUUUAUUACUUCCUUCAUUUUAAGAAGAAUGAUUUUUUUUUUAAUUAUUUAAAAAAGAAUUUUUUUUAAGUAAUAUUUUAAUUUCAACUUUUCACGUGAUAUAUUUAGAACCAUAAGAUUAAGAAGCGUGAUAAAUUUUAUUUUAAAAAGUUCAUCUUCUUUUUGUACAUAUUAAACUUGGUAUUAUUUGUUAGGUACUAUUUUUUAAUACAUACCAUUAUUCUUGAAGCAGAUUUUUCUUUUUCACUCCACAAAAAUCCAGUGCAUUGAACUUAUACUUGAAAAAGGAAACAAAAAAGGCUCUACUAGACAAAUCUACCCGAAACUCAAGUUUUGAUAGAAUGACAUUUGACACUAUCACUUUCAUCAUUCCCUAUUGUUUUAUCAUAAUAAAGUCAAAUACAUAUGAAUCUGGUGUAGGUAACAUGCAAUUAUAUUUAUUUAUUUGAUAUGGGGAAAAAUACGAUUGAUAGAGGAGAAUAAAAACAGAAAAAAUUAGAGAGAGGGGCAGCAAAUUAAAGAGAAAGCAGACUCGAGAUCAAUAUGGGUUGCCGUGCAGCGGAUGGGGCUGCUCCACCCUUAACCAGAGAUCGAGGAUUCGACUCUGAGCAUGGAGAAAACUCUGUUGAAAGUCCUACCUUUCGAAUGUGGCCCUACCUGGUGCGAAUCUGAAUUAGUCAGGCUCUAAUGCGGAUACCAAACAUCGAAUGAAAAAAAAAAAAAAACAGACUCGAGAAACUUUGGCGUCAUCAGUAGGAUUUGAAAUUCAUGACAUUCUGUUUUUUGGGAUUGCCGUAUGAGGUUCACAACUUGCUUUUGAAGCAAAAUAAGUGGUUACUCUAUCAACAUUGGGUACCGUCAUACCGCAUACGUCGCUUUUUCUGAAACAACUUCACUGGGAUGGAAGAGACAACAUAAAAAAAAAAAAAAAAAAAAAAAAGAACAACUGAGAAUAAAUGCUAAUCAUUGAUAUUGAUUGAAAAAAAAGAGUACAUCCUACUUAUAAGAAAUUAAAUAAAAUAAAUAAAUAGAAUAUGAUAUUUUUUUUUUAUAGAUAUUAGAUUAAAUAUUUUGUAUUUAAUAAAUUCCACAUUUAAAAAGAAGUAAAUAGUAUAAAAUAUUCUUAGACUAAAAAGAGAAAAUAAAAAUAUUCUAUCAUUAAUGAAAAUCAUAAGAUACAAGGAAAGUAAAUUUCGACAUUCCCCCCAAACUCAAGUUGGUGUAUCCAAUUUGAGUUUAAACACUUAAUUAUUCUUAAAAAAGCGUACUUCUCCGUGAUUUUGUUGCAACAAAUUAAAAAAAUUGGUCUUCCUCAUGUUCUUCUUCCACAAGUAGUAUUUUUGAUUUAUCUUUAGUGUUUUUAAACUUGCAUACUUUUGUGAUAUGACCUUUUUGUUUGCAACUUUCACAUAAUGCAUCAUAUAUCCACCAACAAAAUUUUUCUAAGUAUGUCUUUUUUUUUUUUGCAAUAUUUGUAAGGAGGAUAAUCAAUUUUACAUUUUUGGUGGCUCACAUCAAAAAUUUCUUCAACAAUUUUUUCUUCCCGGUAAGCACUUCUUUGCUCUUAUGUUUGAAGAACUCUUAUCAAUUCUGCAAGAGAAAUGACAGAGUGAUCUUUAGACUCUUCUAAAGAGGAGAUUUUGGACUUGAAUCUCUCAGGAAUAGUCACCAGAUUUUUUUUAACUAUUCUAUUAUCCUUAAAAUCUUCGCCAAGCAACCUAAUUCUAUUGACAAUCAAAGAAAUUUUGUCAGAAUACUUAGUAGUUGUCUUACCUUAUUGCAUCCUAAGUAAUUCAAAAUCUCUUUCCAAAUUUAAAAUUUGAUUUUAUCUACCUCGUUCACUUCCUUGGUACUCCUUUUCAAGCUUAUCCCAAGCUUCUUUUAUUUUUUCACAUGCAAUUAUUUAAAAAAAAAAAAUUGAAUCAACAACUGAAUUUUAAAUUAUAAUUUUUGUUUUAGAUUUUUCUUCUGAGCAAAGUUUGAUUUUAGCAGCAGAAGGAUUUGCAGAAAGUGGUUGUUUAGAUUUGUCUUUCUUACAACUUCCCACAAAUCAUAAGUUUCAAGAUAUGAUUUCAUCUUAACUGCCCAAAUUUGAUAAUUUUCAUCAGUGAAGAUUUAUGGGGCAUUGAAAGAGAGAGUAUUGCUUAUCAUGGUUAAAAACAAGAUUUAAAAUAAUAUGGGUUAAAAAUCAAUUAGAAAUAGUCUUAUGUUAAAAACAAAAGUAAGAGUUAGAAAUAGUCUCGCGUUAAAAAUAAAAGAAUGGAUUAAAAGUAGAUUGAAAAUAGAUAGGAAUUAAAAGUGAUUGAAAAUUUUUCUUCAAUAAAUUCACAGAUCCAAGAGGAUCAAUGAAUACUCUUGAUACCACUAUUAUGAAAUGGAAGAGACAAGAAAGAAAAUUAAAUAGAGAAUGAAUGAUAACUCUUGAUAUUGAUUAUUUUCAUUGAUUAAAAAAAAAAGAGUUCAUCUCUAUUUAUAAGAAACUAAAUACAAUAAAUAAGGAGAAUAUAUAUUUUCCUUAUAGGUAUUAGACUAAAUAUUCUGUAAUUAAUAAACCCUACACUUAUAAGAGAGUAAAUAAUGUAAAAUAUUUUUAGACUAAAAAGAAAAAAAUAAAAAUAUUCUACCAUUAAUGAAAAUUAUAAAAAAUAGAAGGAAUGUAAAUCUCAACACAACUGUGGGUUUGGUAUAACAAAAAUUUAUGAUUUGAAAAUAAUCAUUUUUGAAAUAUUAGUUAUUUUUUGGUGUUAGAAAAUAUUUUCGACUAAAUAAGAAAAUAAUUACUCACUGAAGAGUGAAGAGUAUUUAAAUGUUAAAGAAUGGCGUCGACAUUCAUUAGGGUCAAUGGUAUUAUUAGGGGUCGUUUGGUAGAGCGUAUUAUAACAAUGUUGUAUUAAUUAUGCUGACAUUAUUUCUUAUAUAUUAUUUUGUUUGACGUAUUUGAAGUAAUAUGUCUUAUAUAAUUUUUAUUAAAAAAAUAUUUGACAAAAAUAUACUCAACAUUUUCUGAUCUGUUCUUUUAUUAAAGCACAGAACGACUUGAAAGAUAACCCCAAAAUUAAAAUCAUUCGAAUUCAAACUAGCUGUAGAGAAAGAGAAUAAAUUGAUACUGAACAUGCUUCAUGGAUAAGAUCUUAGAAGCUUGGAAGAUUUGGAUUCAUCCAAGCUGUUGCAAAGCUCACAAGAUAGCUAUAAGUUGGAGAAUUGGUCAAAAAUAAUUUUCUCCAAACCAGUGAAUCAAAGCAAAGUGAAACUAAACAAAAUGGACAUAAAAGUUAUGUGCAUGGCUAAGUGUAAAGAAGAGAGACAAAGUACAGAAAAGAGAGGUAAAAUACUAUAAAAAAUGAAUUGGGGGAAAUAUUGUAGUAGGAAUUUGAGGGACAAUUUUGUUAUUUAAUUUAGUUAAUGCAUGUAUCAAAACAUUUGUAUUAUUAAUACAUAGAAAAAUAUGGUAUUAAUAAUACACAGUUUAAAUACACAAUAGUGUGUAACUAGUAACUAAUGCAAGUAUUAAUUAUACAUAGCCUAAAAAUAAUGUCAAAUCUUUAUCUCUAUCUCUAAUCUCUAAUUUCUAAUAUAUUAAAAGUGUAAAGACGUUUAGAAAAGUCAUUCAAGCUUUUUGUUCUUCAUUAAAUGUCUUUGCAAUAAAAAAAUUAUUUUUUACUUAUUUUCUGUAAUUAUUAAAUCAUUAUAUUUAUAAUAUUUAAAAUAAAAAAGUUUUAAAAUAUAUGAAAAAAAAAUAUUGGUAGAUUUUUCUCUUUGUGUAUUAUAAAAAAGAGACCUAAAAUAUACAAAUAAAGGGGAAAAAAAAAAAGGAAAUCCAUCAAAAUUGGAAUAAUAACAUUGUAGGCAACGAAAUUUUACUAAAUUAAAAUCCGCACAAAAUUUGGAUUAUAUUAAAUUUAAAAUAUAUUGAUCCCAAAUAAAUAUUAGGGAUUAAUAUAAUUGGACUAAUUAUUUAAGUCCAAACAUGAAUGGAUUUAAUUAAAAUUUAAUUUUUAUUGGGCUAGCCCAUUGAUUUGGGCUAGAAAUGACUAACCCUACUUUAGCAAGCCCAAGAUGUCAUCAUAUUAGUUUGGACUACAAAAAACUAAGCCCACUUUAACAAGCCCGAGAUGUCAUCAUAUUCUAGAGGUCUAAUUUGGCGCCACAUGUCAAAUGAUGUGGUAUGCCAAGUCAUAUGAAGGAGCCAAUGUGACUAUGACACGUGUCAAAAUGAUGAUCCUAGUGAAUUAAAAGCCCAUAAAAGGUGUCAUGUCACUUAAAUCUGAUUGGUCAAAGAAAGUUCAUAUUUAUCAUAACCAUGUUACUUAAAUCUGAUUGGCCUAAAGAAAUUGACCUUCACUAUGACUCUUUCCUUUUCACAACUAUAAAUAGGGGUCUCAUAAAUCAGAAAAAGGGGACCAAUAAGUCUAGCAGGAAGCAAGAGAGAGCUCGUGGAUCAAACAACGCAAAUUUCUCUAUAAAUUCAAGAAUUCAAGAUCAGUUCAUCAAGAUUCAAGAUCAAGACUACAAGAUUCAAGAACAAGCUUAAAGACCCUUGCAUUCAAGUACCGAGAGCAAGUUUAUCAAAUCGGCAAAUCAAUUUCAAGUUCAAUAUCAAGACCGCACGAUUCAAGAACAAGCAACAAAGCCCUUGGAUUCAAGCACGAGUCAAGAUCAAAUCCAUCAAGUUCAAGAUCAAGCUUGAAGCCCUUGAAUUUACAUUUGAAAGGCGAAUCAGAGGAUUCAUAGAGAUUGUAACACUCACGUUGAAAUUAAUAAAAUAAUUGUUGCAGUAUUUUUUUCAUGUCUCGAUUAUUAUUUUUAGUCCCGAGA
RNAcentral lists this long non-coding RNA (5079 nucleotides) under Capsicum annuum. RNAcentral describes it as "long non-coding RNA (CANN_LNC005198)". The record is from RNAcentral. Lineage: Eukaryota; Viridiplantae; Streptophyta; Magnoliopsida; Solanales; Solanaceae.